AGGCCCGUAGCUCCAAUUGGUAGAGCGGCGGUCUCCAAAACCGUUGGUUGGGGGUUCGAGUCCCUCCGGGCCUGCCA
RNAcentral lists this transfer RNA (77 nucleotides) under Bacillota bacterium. RNAcentral's name for it is "tRNA-Trp". It matches the Rfam family "tRNA". Rfam says of the family: Transfer RNA (tRNA) molecules are approximately 80 nucleotides in length. Their secondary structure includes four short double-helical elements and three loops (D, anti-codon, and T loops). Lineage: Bacteria; Bacillati; Bacillota. The record is from RNAcentral.